Ixodes scapularis (black-legged tick) is the source of this 2572-nucleotide long non-coding RNA. RefSeq lists it as uncharacterized. Lineage: Eukaryota; Metazoa; Arthropoda; Arachnida; Ixodida; Ixodidae. The record is from RefSeq and is a predicted model, not a curated record. The transcript has 3 exons.
AGUGAGUUGCUUCCUCCCUUCUCAUACUGCUGAGUCUACAUUUAAGCAUUCAUUCUUCACAGGAGGACCGACACGACAGAUUGACCUAUCCGGUGAUGCGAAUUGACAAAGAGGACUCAAAGGCCAUAACUGCGGUGUUGGAGAACCACUUAUUUGAGGUGACGGACGGAUUGGGCACUUCAUUGAUUUGAAGUACGAUAUAAAGUCUGCCUUGGCUUUGGAUCUCAUCACAAAUGCAUUCUGUCAGUUCCUCAAGGCUCUUCUCACAUCAUGUGGUGACAUUUGCGUCCAGUGUUAUAUAGCCCUGUCACAUGGAAGAGGUGGAGGAGACCAGCUUACUAAAGAGUAUAUCAGCAUCACUGGAAACACUGCCUCUAUUGCUGUCAUCAACAGCCAGCUGGCUGAAAUCAAGCCACCACACAGCUCCACGAGACUCCCAAGGGCACUGAGCACACGCCUAUUCUGGAAGGCUUCCGAAUGGCGCCACUGGCUGCUGUACCACUCGCUUCCCUGCAUGUACAGGGUCCUUCUGGACCAAUACUGGCCGUACAUAAAGAAGCUGGUGGAGGCCGUCCAUGCACUUUUGAGGGACACCGUAACUCCAGCAUCCAUUGAUGUUGCACGCGAGUUCUCCCCCUUCGGUUUCUUUGUGUCCUGCUUCGGGCCAGCUUUAAUAAUGUCAUAUUGUGCUUUCAGAGAAACUCCUCUGGACCUUUGUGGGCAUGACAGGGAGGCUGUAUGGAGCUCCAGCAAUGACGUUCAGCCUGCACCAGUUACUCCACCUAGCGGAAGCAGUGCAGCAACUGGGGCCAUUGUGGGGCCAUUCUGCUUUUGAAUUUGAAAGCGGUAACGGGCAGCUUGUGAAGCUGGUGAAAGGAUCAAAUGCUCUUCCGGAAAGGGUAGUGAAGUAUCAGCAGUUGGGAUCAAACUUUGGUGUCCUCGCUUCUAAGUGACAGCGUCAAAGUGAUGUGCUGUGAUAUUCUGGGAUACACUAAACACCAAAACUUCAAGUAUGCAAACGAAGUGUGCCUGCUCGGUUCCUCUUCGAAGGCAUCCUUGAGCAAAGAGGAACAGAGUUGUCUUUCCGCUGGAUUUGGGGCCGCCUUUGAUCAGGCUACAGAGUACAAGCACUUCGCAUGGAAAGGGCAGAUUUGUCACAGCCGAAACUAUGCCAGGAGUAAAAAGACAGACUCCUAGGUCAUUCAAAUAAAGGAUAUGUGCGAUUUCACCAUUUUGAGAGUGUUGCCUUUGAAAGGUGAGGUAACACUUCUGUGCAGGGAAGUUGUCAUCACUUGUGCAGGUGCUUUCCCGCAGCACAUCAGGCUUUGUUUUCUUUCUCACGUGAACUUGCAGGCUGUUAAACCACAGCAGCUGAAGGCACCAUGCCUUUUUCUCACUUUCAGGAAGCCCUCAGCAUGCUAUGUCUGUGAUCUGUCAAACCUUCUUGAGCGCGAUUGAUGUAAUGUAACCAGGUGUGCCGAAGUAAAGUGACUGUUCCCUAGGAGUUGAAAUAUCCAAAACUACAUCCUGUGAUAAUUUGUCCCUGUUUUGCCUUUGUGUCAACAAGGGAAAUCUAUCGAGAUUGUGCCUUUCACAUCUUCAGACUUCUUGUUUUGCUCCUAAGGUGUUCCUUCAGGUAACUCUACAUUCAUAAGUGAUUUUCUUUGUUUACAAUUUGUUAUACUUCGUGUGCUUGAUUUGCUCUUCUGAGACUAGUCGGGCUAAUUUGAUUAUCGACCUGUGGAAGAUGGCUAUUGUUUGAGUAAAUCAAUUCCAUGUCUCAGCCUCCUAAUGUGUCUUUCCCUAACCUUUCUGACAAAAAUGUGUGAAGCUUCUAGGGGUAGCAGUAGGGUAGGCUUGUUUUUAACUGCAAGCAGGCAAAUGAGAAAAUCCCUCUUUUGUUAUUAUAAUGCAAGUUGAAAAGACUGAAAUAGACUUAGACCUUUCGUUAUUCUGUCUACAUUGCAUCAUAAUUGAAUAGCUUCAAAAACCUUCUGUAUUCGUGGACCACAAAAUAGGCUUUUGUUAAUAGCAUUUCACAUAUGAUUUGAUUGAUUUUGUUUUCAUACUUCUGUGUUAAUUUUGACUAGUUAAUUGUUUUAGUAACUAUAGGUUAUGUAUGAGGGUUAUAAGUUCUUGGCUCUCUUAAUUACUGUACUGUCAUUCGAUGAUUUGUCUCUUAACACCUACAAGUACUUGUGAAAAUCUUAAACUGGCACACGUAAAACUGAACAGCAAGAUAGUUACUGAUGCUUGUCUAGUGAGCUUUCAAACACAAAUAUUAAAUAGAGCGUGCACAUUAGAAUGUAUAGCAAUGUAUUUCUGGGGUGGAGUUGCCCUUUGAGGUUAUUACUUGAAGUAAGCAUUUGUGCAAGUUGGUUUAAAUUUAUGUAGUGUCUAAUGGCCUUUCGGUGUCUUGGGGGUUCUAGUAAUAUUUUUUUUCUGAGAUCAAUCAUAGUAUAGAAAUAAAUGUAGAGCGGAUGCAGAGGAUGCUAACUGCUGUUAACGAAUUCCAAUAAGGUAGAAAUGUUUGGCGACUUCAUUAUAAAAAACAAUUACUUUUUUUUCAUUU